RNAcentral lists this ribosomal RNA (484 nucleotides) under uncultured bacterium. Its description in RNAcentral is "partial 16S ribosomal RNA". It matches the Rfam family "Bacterial small subunit ribosomal RNA", at positions 30 to 507 of the family's 1533-position model. The record is from RNAcentral.
AUUGAACGCUGGCGGCAGGCCUAACACAUGCAAGUCGAGCGGAUGAAGGGGGCUUGCUCCUGGAUUCCGCGGCGGACGGGUGAGUAAUGCCUAGGAAUCUGCCCGGUCGUGGGGGAUAACGUCCCGAAACGGGCGCUAAUACAGCAUCCGUCCUGAUGUAGAACGUGGGGGUUCUUCGGACCUCACGCUAUCAGAUGAGCCUAGGUCGGAUUAGCUAGUUGGUGGGGUAAGGGCCUACCAAGGCGACGAUCCGUAACUGGUCUGAGAGGAUGAUCAGUCACACUGGAACUGAGACACGGUCCAGACUCCUACGGGAGGCAGCAGUGGGGAAUAUUGGACAAUGGGCGAAAGCCUGAUCCAGCCAUGCCGCGUGUGUGAAGAAGGUCUUCGGAUUGUAAAGCACUGUUAGUUGGGAGGAAGGGCAGUGAGUUAAUACCUGGCUGUUUUGACGUUACCAACAGAAUAAGCACCGGCUAACUACGUG